GGGAGAGAUGCCUAGCAAUGCUGUGCCAGGCCAGUGAGCUGGAUGUUGUAAAGGAGAUUGCACGCAGGACCAAAACAAAAAUGGCUGACGCUGGGCCGCUAACAUUCUUCGAUGCUCUCCGAAAUGAAAAGGACCCACGGACCCACUAUGGGAGGCCUGGAGUGUGUUGCAUACCGAUUGGUUAUCCAUCUGAAAAUGGAAAAGCCAGCUAUUGGCGUUACAACGAGAACACUUUCACAGAGAAUGGUAGAGCAUGGGGCGGAUAUGGGAAAGAAUGGGGUGAACACUGCGCUGGCGGAGGAGG
RNAcentral lists this long non-coding RNA (304 nucleotides) under Androctonus crassicauda. Lineage: Eukaryota; Metazoa; Arthropoda; Arachnida; Scorpiones; Buthidae. The record is from RNAcentral.